Long non-coding RNA from Oncorhynchus tshawytscha (Chinook salmon), 3396 nucleotides. The record is from Ensembl. NCBI's taxonomy places the organism in Eukaryota, Metazoa, Chordata, Actinopteri, Salmoniformes, Salmonidae.
AACCUAAUAACAACUACAUUAGCAUAGCACGGCCCUGAAUAUAAUAACUAACCUAAUAACAACUACAUUAGCAUAGCACGGCCCUGAAUAUAAUAAGAGUAAAAAAAAAAGUCCAUCUGUUAUAUUUCACACAAAUAUACUCAACCAAAUCCUCUCCACAGAGCAAUGCAGUCGACAUGAAUGGACUAAAACCUGUCAGGUGAGACAGUGUAUAUAGACGUGUUAUGUUGGCCUUCUGUACAUCCCCACCCCUGAAACUAAAGCGUCACCUCAGCUUUAAAGAUGUGAAGCAUAUUUGCAUCUGGUGGACCCUCAUUUAAAAUGUGCUUCCCGGUAGGGGUGAGCUGAUGGCAUGUUCUCCUAACCCAUAAAGAUUGAUAAUAAAAUAAAACUGAGUUGUGAAAAGCCAUUUGAACAUGGUCUUAAAUAAGAAAAUGUGUUUUGUUAAUAAACCCCUGAUAUUUAUUGUCCCAAAAUAAGGCUCUGGUUUCUAGGCACACCAAGGUAACUGAGCUAUAAUGUGCAUUCAAUGUUAAACGACUGGUGAUUUGCUAUAGUGAUCAUCAGUAAUAGAUUUCAGACAAAAGCCAGAGCAGAGGAGACAAACAAGUGCAUCAUUGGCAAAAACUGCUGGUGAAAUAGAAGUGCAUAUUGAGUCUGUGCACAUACUGUAGUACUGUAUGCGUUUGUAGUACUGUAUGCGUUUGUGGUACUGUAUGCGUUUGUAGUACUGUAUGCGUUUGAGGUACUGUAUGCGUUUGAGGUACUGUAUGCGUUUGUAGUACUGUAUGCGUUUGAGCUACUGUAUGUGUUUGUGGUACUGUAUGCGUUUGUAGUACUGUAUGCGUUUGUAGUACUGUAUGCGUUUGUGGUACUGUAUGCGUUUGUAGUACUGUAUGCGUUUGUAGUACUGUAUGCGUUUGUAGUACUGUAUGUGUUUGUAGUACUGUAUGUGUUUGUAGUACUGUAUGUGUUUGUAGUACUGUAUGCGUGCGUACUGUAUUCGUUUUAGUACUGUAUGUGGUUGUAGUACUGUAUGCGUGCGUACUGUAUGCGUUGUAGUACUGUAUGCGUUUGUAUACUGUAUGUGUUUGUAGUACUGUAUGUGUUUGUAGUACUGUAUGCGUGCGUACUGUAUGCGUUUUAGUACUGUAUGUGUUUGUAGUACUGUAUGCGUGCGUGUGCAUGUGAGCAAGCGCAUAUUAAAAAGAGGUAGCAGAGGACAAUCAGAGCAAAAACAAAAAGAUUCCAAAACAGUGCUGUAUUACUCAAUCUUUCCUCAUCUCUCUCGCUCAUAAAGAAAAACUUCCACGCUUCUCAAGAACGUAGGUAGAUAACUGCCCAGACUCAUCAACCAUCACCACAAAAAAACUGACACACACACGUUUUCAUUGAAUCCUUUACAGAAACCCGUUUAAAACGGUAUGCUUAGUUGGUAAAGCACUGUGCUACCAUGGGGCUGUGUCCUUUACAUCCACGUGAUACAAAAAAGCCCUGGAUUGCAGAACCAUGAGCUAAAAGGGGCAGUAGAACACAGAGCUGGGGGCAGACCGAGCCGGUGACUGAGCAGCUGGCUGCAAAGCAGACAUGGAAAUCAUCAAGACAGGAUAUAAACAUGAUAAGCGGUUCAUAAGAAAAUCCAUCAAUCUUAACACUACGACAUCAUACACACACUCUGCAGUUCGCUAACUGACGCUAACUGAGGCCUCUAGCGUGGAAGUGAUGUUAAAAUACCCCGGUUCACAAGCUGUUCAAUCCCAGUUAGCAUAAAUGGGUUGAACACUUAAUACAAAGAUGAGCCGUUUCAGCCCCCCCCAACAGACAGACAGACGUGGAGUAACAACCGUUUCCUCUUGAUCUGUAGGCUUAUUUUUGAGGUGUGUUGAGAUAAAUCAUCCAGCAUUUGAGAAGUAAAAUGAAUAAAUACAAUGAAUUAGUAUUAAAAUAAGAAAAGAUGAAACACAAUCAUGCCAAAAAUACAUGUGCAAUGGGAGAGGUAGUUUGUUUUGGUUAAAACAGGGCUCUAUACAAUGAACUAACAAGGAUUAAGGAGUCAGCUUGUUUCCCACAUCACCAGAGCAAUACAACAAAGCCACCAACAGCAGCAGCAACCAUACAGGCCAAAAUAUAGGCAGGGCCGUUGUGAUCAGUGCCUCAUCAGGAACCUGUCUGCAAUAAUCGACUGAUCUAAACAAUACAUUGAAAGAAGAAAAUGUAUUACCUUCAUGUAUUAUUUUAGCCAAUCCAGGUGACGUCAUAGUAAACCUAAAAAGGUACUGAUCACAGAAGCCCUGCCUGAACUCAGCCAUGGUGACUACAUGAUAUACAUAUUAUUACCGAGUCAUUCCUCGGCCUCGCUUAUUCCUCAAAAAUAUUGAUUAGGACUGGACUUUUGACAGUGGCAGCGGGAACCAUGGAUUUAGAUUCACUGACUCUUUGUUUACAUUGAGGACCGUUGUUUAUAUCGCCUGCCUCUUUUACACAUGAUUAUCGCGCUGCGAUUAGAAAAACAGACAAUGGAUCCCUAUACAUGGCCUGCAACACAGCCCUCGAGGCAGUUUUUCUUCAAAGGAACCUGGCAACUUUUUGCUUGAUAAAAAAACAGAACACUGCAUAAGUUGCUGAAGAAACGUCAUGGUGUGUGUGUCACAUGUUUGGUUCCCUUCUAUUCUAUUAUGAAAGUGUUCAGUUUCAUUGAGGUAUCUGUUAAAUGUUUAACAGGGUUUUGUAAGGCUACUGAGGUGGAGUUGCUGACCUGCAUUGGGAGAGGGGUGCAGUUUUUGGGGCGGUCUUUCUGAGCCAGCUUGGCAGCAGGCAGAGAGAGCUCUUGGAGGAGUUCCUCCCAUCAGAACCCCUGACCCGAUCUUUCCUGCAUUCCUUUAAAUGGAUUUAUGUAUAUGUGAUAGAAUGCAACAACAAAAGAGUAUGCUUUCUCCACAACACCUGGUCUACACACAGUGGGGUCUGGACAUCUGCUGCAAUGGGAGAAAAUAUCAGACUUUGGCUCAGGAGCUCUGUACACUGCACUUCUGUGAUUCUUACUUUCUAUACACUUCUAUACAGUCACUCCUUUAUUCACACCUGAGCCCACCUCCCCAAACUCUCACCACUGGAUCAGUUCAGUGUUAAUCAGUUCCCAGGUAAGAGACGUCACACCUUCCAUCGGUGUGACAUAUCCAAAGCCGCUGCUCACAAUCUCAGUCCCAUCAGCUCUUGAUGCACUACAGCUGUUGAGUUGGUCCUGAAUGGAUGCCGUCGCAUUAAAGCUAUGAAGAGUUCUGCCAGGCUGGCCGGCGUGUUGGAGAGAGAGGCAUGUCCGCCACGACGGCGACUGAUUGGCCUUUAUCCUUGUCUGUUUGAGUUGAGGCAGUGUUAGUAGUAAAGAGCAUGAACAAG